GAGCGAAGCACCUUGACGGAUUCUUCGGAUUGAAGCCUUGGUGACUGAGCGGCGGACGGGUGAGUAACGCGUGGGUAACCUGCCUCAUACAGGGGGAUAACAGUUGGAAACGGCUGCUAAUACCGCAUAAGCGCACAGUACCGCAUGGUACGGUGUGAAAAACUCCGGUGGUAUGAGAUGGACCCGCGUCUGAUUAGGUAGUUGGUGGGGUAACGGCCUACCAAGCCGACGAUCAGUAGCCGACCUGAGAGGGUGACCGGCCACAUUGGGACUGAGACACGGCCCAAACUCCUACGGGAGGCAGCAGUGGGGAAUAUUGCACAAUGGGGGAAACCCUGAUGCAGCGACGCCGCGUGAGCGAUGAAGUAUUUCGGUAUGUAAAGCUCUAUCAGCAGGGAAGAAAAUGACGGUACCUGACUAAGAAGCCCCGGCUAACUACGUGCCAGCAGCCGCGGUAAUACGUAGGGGGCAAGCGUUAUCCGGAUUUACUGGGUGUAAAGGGAGCGUAGACGGCAUGGCAAGUCAGAUGUGAAAGCCCGGGGCUCAACCCCGGGACUGCAUUUGGAACUGUCAGGCUAGAGUGUCGGAGAGGAAAGCGGAAUUCCUAGUGUAGCGGUGAAAUGCGUAGAUAUUAGGAGGAACACCAGUGGCGAAGGCGGCUUUCUGGACGAUGAC
This 675-nucleotide ribosomal RNA is filed under the name uncultured Lachnospiraceae bacterium. RNAcentral describes it as "bacterial SSU rRNA". It matches the Rfam family "Bacterial small subunit ribosomal RNA", at positions 59 to 740 of the family's 1533-position model. Lineage: Bacteria; Bacillati; Bacillota; Clostridia; Lachnospirales; Lachnospiraceae. The record is from RNAcentral.